UUCCCAUCUGUAAACAACAUAACCUCAAAUUACACAAGGAUUCCUGGAUAAAAAAUAUAUAUUUUAAAAUUUAAAGGCUCUUUUUUUACAUCAUAUAAACUGGUACAGUCAUAACAAUUAUUUUAUGUCAUUACAGGUCAUUACUCACCACUUGACUGUUAUCUCAAGGGUAGAAAAUACUGUGCAUGCAGUAUACCAGCUCCAAGCAUGCAUGUCAGCUACCAAAGAUAAUUUAAUACUGUAUACUUGUAAACACCAUGACUAUCAAAACAGGAAUUUUAUCACUGUAAUCUAUCAGUUUAAAAGGUGACACAGUUUUGGGGAUUCAAUAUUGAUCCAGUCAAGAUAAGUACCAACAAGAGUAGAGCUCAUUAUCCACAAUCACAUAUGAGAAAGAUCUGACUAAACUUUCUGAAGAAUUAAAGUUCAUCUUGUCUAUAAGUACCAGGAAGGACUGACAGGGAGAUUUAUAUUCUUCACUUAUUGUCUUAAACGAAGUCCAGUACAGUAGGGUCAGGAUAUAUCGUGACUAUUAAUAAAGAUAUUUUUAUAUAGCGGCUACCAAAAUUAUCAAAAUUUUCCUAUAUAUAGCGAUAAUUUUUUUACAGGUGAAGUGGAGGCUGGACCAUCUGAGGAGGAAGCAGGACCAUCAAGGGUGCAGGCAGGACUAUCAAGGAUGCAGUUAUAGUUCAGUGUUUAGGCACGCAGGUGUCACGUGACGCGGAGGACGUUAGCUGUGAGUCGAGUGGAGCGAGUGAUGAGUCAGCAGAUUCCGACUUUUAAGGUGAGGGAGGCAGUGUGGCAUCUGGUGUUCCCGGGAUGGCGCGUGAGAUGGCGCAUCAGCCUCGAGUCUGUGUUCCCAACAUGGCGAGUGGGAUGGCGCGUCAGCUCCCGAGUCUGUGUUCCUUCAAAUUGAUGCUGAUAUUGAAACAGCCUGUUUUUCCCGAGUCUAGUGUUCACUGGUGCUUUAGUUAG
Molecule: long non-coding RNA, 975 nt
Organism: Homarus americanus (American lobster)
Lineage: Eukaryota; Metazoa; Arthropoda; Malacostraca; Decapoda; Nephropidae
Exons: 3
Source: RefSeq, a predicted model, not a curated record